This 1429-nucleotide long non-coding RNA is filed under the name Monodelphis domestica (gray short-tailed opossum). RNAcentral's name for it is "lncRNA (ENSMODG00000030157.2)". The record is from RNAcentral. Lineage: Eukaryota; Metazoa; Chordata; Mammalia; Didelphimorphia; Didelphidae.
CAUCUGCGCCAGCCCCAGUCCCGGAGCACGUGCUCCGUGCCGGGUUUCCAAGGUUGCCGGGAAGGAACCCUGAGCAGCCGGUUUCAAGUUCAUGUUCCGGGCGGCUGCGCCAGCUCUGGAGGGUUUGCCUUAGUAGAUCGGCUUCUUGGUCCAAGAGUGGACCGCCUGGGAAAUCAGGCGCUCUCACACCCUCCCUGUUGCAAAAUAAGGCUGCAUUUUGACUUACCAAGGAAGCAUUUUUGGAGGGAAGGUGACGCAGUCAAGAAGAUUGGACUUCCAGGAUCAAUUGAAACGGUAACUGAAUGACCCUGGACGUGUACUAGACCUCAAUGCUAGAAGCGUUCUGCAGUGGAAAGUGUCGGAGUCCGGAGAUCUGAGUUCGAAUUCUAUCUUUAUCACUUACUAGCUAUGUGACUGGGCAAAUCGCUUAACUUCCCCAGGCCUCCGUUUCCUUGUCAAUAAAAAGAAGAGAUUGGACAAGUGGCCUCCAAGAUAGUUCUAUUUUCUAGUUCUAUUUCAUCCAACCCUGGGAUUUUACAAAUGUAAGAAUAAAGAGGUGGAGGCCAAAGAUUCACUGAAGCGCAUUUUACAGAUGAGGAAACCGAGGCAAACAAGGUUAAAUGACUUACCCAGGGCCACCCAACUGCCUUCCGGCACACAGUCCCUGUGCUCCAGCCCGGCCAGACCAUCGUCCUCUCUGACCUGGCUCUGUGAAAUGGGGCUAAAACCCAAAGAACGCUGACUCUGGAGUCAGAACCUGUGUGCGAAUCCUGGGUCUCCACCACAUACUACCUGUGUGAUGGCAGGUUCAGCAUUCCAACUACUGCAUUAUCUAGUUUUGGGAAGAUUGUUGAUAAACUGCCAUUGAAGGACAAGAGAAUACAAAAAAGGAGAAGACUUAACCUGAAUAAUGCCAAAAGAGCACACUGGAAGGAUGAGGAGGAGGAGGAGAAGGAAGAGGAGGAGGAGGAAGAAGAAGAAACCAAUCCAGGAAGGAUUGAUGCACUUCUAAGCCAAUACAAAGGACUUGAACCUAGAGUGAGACUCGAGGUUGUGAAGCAAUACCUUAAGACAUAGGCCUUCCUUGUAUCCACACUCUUCAUGAAAAUACUUACAAACAAGUCCCAAAAUUUGACUCCUACCUGGCUCCUAUAAUCUAGUCCCUUUUCUAUCUUUCAUAAUGUGGCAACUUUCUGUAGUCCUGGCUACUGACUGGGUAAAUGCAUCAUUGCUUAAAUCAUUUUAAUUGGGCCCUGAUUCAAGGACCUGUUAUAGAUUUAUUUUUCCUUUACUUAGAAUUUUUACACAUAAGACUUUGAUAGUCUAUAUUUCAUCCAGAAAUUAUCUUUUUUAUUUGGAUUUUUUGAUGUUUUUUUAUUUAUCUUGCCAAUUGAUUAAUAUACCUCAUAACUCAGCCAUGCAUCCCUAA